UAGCCGUAAACGAUACUCGCUAGGUGUCGGCCACGGUGCGACCGUUGUCGGUGCCGUAGGGAAGCCGUGAAGCGAGCCACCUGGGAAGUACGGCCGCAAGGCUGAAACUUAAAGGAAUUGGCGGGGGAGGCACCACAACGGGUGGAGCUUGCGGUUUAAUUGGAUUCAACGCCGGAAAUCUUACCGGGACCGACAGCAAUAUGAAGGCCAGGCUGAAGACUUUGCCGGAUUAGCUGAGAGGUGGUGCAUGGCG
RNAcentral lists this ribosomal RNA (253 nucleotides) under uncultured archaeon. RNAcentral's name for it is "partial 16S ribosomal RNA". It matches the Rfam family "Archaeal small subunit ribosomal RNA", at positions 748 to 999 of the family's 1478-position model. The record is from RNAcentral.